GGGCCGUUAACUCAGUUGGCAGAGUAUCUGCCUUUUAAGCAGAGAGCCGCUGGUUCGAAUCCAGCACGGCCCACCA
This 76-nucleotide transfer RNA is filed under the name Desulfobacteraceae bacterium. RNAcentral describes it as "tRNA-Lys". It matches the Rfam family "tRNA". Rfam says of the family: Transfer RNA (tRNA) molecules are approximately 80 nucleotides in length. Their secondary structure includes four short double-helical elements and three loops (D, anti-codon, and T loops). Further hydrogen bonds mediate the characteristic L-shaped molecular structure. tRNAs have two regions of fundamental functional importance: the anti-codon, which is responsible for specific mRNA codon recognition, and the 3' end, to which the tRNAs corresponding amino acid is attached (by aminoacyl-tRNA synthetases). tRNAs cope with the degeneracy of the genetic code in two manners: having more than one tRNA (with a specific anti-codon) for a particular amino acid; and 'wobble' base-pairing, i.e. permitting non-standard base-pairing at the 3rd anti-codon position. Lineage: Bacteria; Pseudomonadati; Thermodesulfobacteriota; Desulfobacteria; Desulfobacterales; Desulfobacteraceae. The record is from RNAcentral.